CGGGUGAGUAACACGUGGAUAACCUACCUAUAAGACUGGGAUAACUUCGGGAAACCGGAGCUAAUACCGGAUAAUAUUUUGAACCGCAUGGUUCAAAAGUGAAAGACGGUCUUGCUGUCACUUAUAGAUGGAUCCGCGCUGCAUUAGCUAGUUGGUAAGGUAACGGCUUACCAAGGCAACGAUGCAUAGCCGACCUGAGAGGGUGAUCGGCCACACUGGGACUGAGACACGGCCCAG
RNAcentral lists this ribosomal RNA (237 nucleotides) under uncultured Staphylococcus sp. RNAcentral describes it as "partial 16S ribosomal RNA". It matches the Rfam family "Bacterial small subunit ribosomal RNA", at positions 103 to 334 of the family's 1533-position model. Lineage: Bacteria; Bacillati; Bacillota; Bacilli; Caryophanales; Staphylococcaceae. The record is from RNAcentral.